RNAcentral lists this long non-coding RNA (1193 nucleotides) under Calidris pugnax (ruff). Its description in RNAcentral is "lncRNA (ENSCPUG00000001629.1)". The record is from RNAcentral. Lineage: Eukaryota; Metazoa; Chordata; Aves; Charadriiformes; Scolopacidae.
UGCUGUCCCCAGGGUCCUCAUGGUGUUCCCAGUGUCCCCACAGGGUCCCCAGUGUCCUCACGUGGUCCCCAGGUCCUUCAUGGUGUCCCUGUGCUCCUCAUGCUGUCUCCGGGUUCCCCAGUGUCCCCAAGGUGUCCCCAGCGUCCUCACGGGGUCCCCAGGGGGUCCCCAGGGUGUCCCCAUGGUCCUCAGGGUGUUUCUGGGUUCCCCACAGGGUCCCCAGUGUCCCCAGGGUGUCCCCAGGUCCCUCAUGGUGUCCCCAAGGUCCUCGAGGUGUCUCCGGGUCCCUCAUGGUGUCCCCGUGGUCCUCAUGGUGUCUCCGGGUUCCCCAGUGUCCCCAGGGUGUCUCCAUGGUCGUCGUGUUGUCCCCAGCGUCCUCACGGGGUCCCCAGGGGGUCCCCAGUGUCCCCAGGGGCUCCCCAGGGUCUUCAUGCUGUCCCCAGUGUCCUCACGUGGUCCCCAGGUCCCUCAUGGUGUCCCUGUGGUCCUCAUGCUGUCUCCGGGUUCCCUGGUGUCCCCAUGGUCCUCAUGGUGUCCCCAGUGUCCUUACAGUGUCCCCAGGGUGUCCCCAAGGUCCUCAGGGUGUCUCCGGGUUCCCCACAGGGUCCCCAUGGUCCUCAUGCUGUCCCCAGUGUCCCCAGGGUGUCCCCAGUGUCCUCACGUGGUCCCCAGGUCCCUCAUGGUGUCCCCGUGGUCCUCAUGCUGUCUCCAGGUUCCUCAGGGUCCCCAGUGUCCCCACGGUGUCCCCAUGGUCCUCAUGGUGUCCCCAGCGUCCUCACGGGUUCCCCAGUGUCCCCAGAGUCCUCAUGGUGUCCCCAGGUUCCUCAUGGUAUCACCACAGGUUCCCCAGUGUCCCCAUGUUGUCCCCACGUGGCCCCCAGGUUUCUCAUGGUGUCCCCAGGGUCCCCAUGGAGUCCUCAAGUUCCCUUCAAUGUCCCCAUGGUGUCCCCAUGGUCCCUGCAGUGUCCCCACAGGGUGUUCUCAGGGUCUCCAUGGUGUCCUCAAGGUCCCUGCAGUGUCCCCAUGGUGUUCCCAGUGUCCCCAUGGUGUCCCCAUUGUCCCCAUGGUGUCCCCAUGGUCCCUGCAGUGCCCCCAAGGUGUUCCCAGGGUCUCUGUGGUGUCUCUCCUGUCCCCAGGGUGUCCCUACUGUCCCCAGUGUCCCCAUGGUGUCCUCAGGAUCCCUGCAGGGUCCC